AUUGAACGCUGGCGGCAUGCUUUACACAUGCAAGUCGAACGGGGUGAGGAGCUUGCUCCUCAUCUAGUGGCGAACGGGUGAGUAAUACAUCGGAACGUACCGUGUAGUGGGGGAUAACGUAGCGAAAGUUACGCUAAUACCGCAUACGAUCCACGGAUGAAAGCAGGGGACCUUCGGGCCUUGUGCUAUACGAGCGGCCGAUGUCUGAUUAGCUAGUUGGUGGGGUAAAGGCCCACCAAGGCAACGAUCAGUAGCGGGCCUGAGAGGAUGAUCCGCCACACUGGGACUGAGACACGGCCCAGACUCCUACGGGAGGCAGCAGUGGGGAAUUUUGGACAAUGGGCGCAAGCCUGAUCCAGCCAUGCCGCGUGUCUGAAGAAGGCCUUCGGG
RNAcentral lists this ribosomal RNA (390 nucleotides) under uncultured bacterium. RNAcentral describes it as "bacterial SSU rRNA". It matches the Rfam family "Bacterial small subunit ribosomal RNA", at positions 30 to 422 of the family's 1533-position model. The record is from RNAcentral.